CACGGAGUUAGCCGGGGCUUCUUUACCUGGUACCGUCAUUAUCUUCCCAGGCGAAAGAGCUUUACAACCCUAAGGCCUUCAUCGCUCACGCGGCAUGGCUGGAUCAGGGUUUCCCCCAUUGUCCAAGAUUCCCCACUGCUGCCUCCCGUAGGAGUCUGGGCCGUGUCUCAGUCCCAGUGUGGCUGAUCAUCCUCUCAAACCAGCUAUGGAUCGUCGGCUCGGUAGGCCGUUACCCCACCAACUACCUAAUCCAACGCGGGCCGAUCCCUCGGCGAUAAAUCUUUCGUCCGUAGACCGUAUGCGGUAUUGCCCCAAGUUUCCCUGGUAUAUUCCGCACCGAAGGGCACGUUCCCACGCGUUACUCACCCGUCCGCCGCUCGCCCCGAAAGGCGCGCUCGACUUGCAUGUGUUAGGCCUGCCGCCAGCGUUCGUUCUGAGCCAGGAUCAAAACUCU
RNAcentral lists this ribosomal RNA (454 nucleotides) under uncultured Paracoccaceae bacterium. RNAcentral describes it as "uncultured Rhodobacteraceae bacterium partial 16S ribosomal RNA". Lineage: Bacteria; Pseudomonadati; Pseudomonadota; Alphaproteobacteria; Rhodobacterales; Paracoccaceae. The record is from RNAcentral.